CAAAAACAUGUCUUUUUGAUUAUAAUUUAAAGUCUAACCUGCCCAAUGAGGAGUUAAAUGGCCGCGGUAUUUUGACCGUGCAAAGGUAGCAUAAUCAUUAGUUUUUUAAUUGAAAGCUGGUAUGAAUGGUUGGACGAGAAAAUAACUGUCUCGAUUUAAGUUAUAUUAGAAUUUUAUUUAUGAGUAAAAAAGCUCAUAUAAGUUUAAAAGACGAGAAGACCCUAUAGAAUUUAAUAUAUAUACAUAUAUAUUAUUUUUAGAAUUGAUAAUGAGUUAUAUGUAAACAUAUUUUGUUGGGGUGAUAGAAAAAUUUAAAUAACUUUUUUUAUAUAAAAACAUUAAUGUAUGAAAAAAUGAUCCGUUAAUUACGAUUAUAAGAUUAAAUUACCUUAGGGAUAACAGCGUAAUUUUUUUUUAGAGUUCUUAUCGAAAAAAGAGUUUGCGACCUCGAUGUUGGAUUAAAAUUAACUUUUGGUGUAGGGGCU
RNAcentral lists this ribosomal RNA (485 nucleotides) under Xylotrupes telemachos. RNAcentral describes it as "partial large subunit ribosomal RNA". It matches the Rfam family "Bacterial large subunit ribosomal RNA", at positions 1808 to 2563 of the family's 2925-position model. Lineage: Eukaryota; Metazoa; Arthropoda; Insecta; Coleoptera; Scarabaeidae. The record is from RNAcentral.